This 450-nucleotide ribosomal RNA is filed under the name Triticum aestivum (bread wheat). RNAcentral's name for it is "partial small subunit ribosomal RNA". The record is from RNAcentral. Lineage: Eukaryota; Viridiplantae; Streptophyta; Magnoliopsida; Poales; Poaceae.
AUGGGAGGCUGCACUCCGCCUCUUCCUCGUGGUGCGGCGGACGGCGGCUCUUACGGUCGUGCGGCCGAUGGCAGCCUCAGCGGGUGGUCGACGACACUUGCAGCUGGUGCUCUACCCAUGGAUUCCGGCACAGCUCGAAAUGCUCAGGCCUCGGCCAAUGGUGGAGAAGACAGAGUACAGGGACAAGCCGCUGGAGCACGUGUUCAUGGGAUGUUCGUGCGCAAGAUGCAGAAGUUCGCCGGAAGGAAGAAGAGCGGGCCGGGGAGGAUGAGGAGAAGGCGGGAUGCGAGGUGCUUGCACGCGCAGCAGCAGGAGGUCGUCUGUGAGGUGCUCCUCUGGAUGCUCCCUUCCGGCGCUGGGCCUAGGUGUUCAACGCCGCCCUCACCAUCCCCUUCUUCCAUUGGCUCAUCGGCCCGUCAGAGGUUAUUGAGGUGGAGGUCAACGGUGUGA